This 625-nucleotide small RNA is filed under the name Histoplasma ohiense. RNAcentral describes it as "hypothetical lncRNA". The record is from RNAcentral. Lineage: Eukaryota; Fungi; Ascomycota; Eurotiomycetes; Onygenales; Ajellomycetaceae.
UCAUAUGGGAUAACGGCCCUGGGUAGAUACGAGUUUCAAGAAUGACUGGUUGAAGACGAUUGGGGUUGGAGAGGGAGGGUUUGAUCUUAUCUAUGAUUACUCCGUAUACGUUCUUCUGCGCAUUGAAUCUGCUUCUUUACCCACAAUAGGCCGCCUGAAUGAUCCAAUUACUAGCACCAUCACCCGCAAAGGACUCAACCACAGGUGGUCCUCCAUUUGCAUCUCCUCCCGCAGCUUACAUGGAACAUCUCAGCCAUUCAGGGGAGGGAUCCGCUGAAAGAAAUGAGCCCUAAUGGACUAGAACGCGUCGCCCAUUGGCAACCAGAGAGGACACAUGAAGUUGGUAAAGAUGAUAACAGGAAUGUCCAGGACUGGGUAGCAAUUUGGCAUCACCGCAGUUGAUUCUGAAAAGGGACGGGUGGAGGUUGAGAAAAUAUCAUCAUUCAUUUAAUGACGAUAUUCGAAACAAUUCCCUUGUAUAUAAUUUCAAAUUAGACAUAUUGCUUCUCAAAACGUCCCAUGGUCCGAAGCCUACAGCGCACUUGGCUCGCUGGAUCUGUUUCAUCAGGCAAGAAAAAUAUCCCAACACCUUAGGUAUACGUCCCUUCCCAAGGAGAAGCAGGGG